This is a long non-coding RNA of Cavia porcellus (domestic guinea pig), 2641 nucleotides long. RefSeq lists it as uncharacterized. The record is from RefSeq and is a predicted model, not a curated record. The transcript has 3 exons. Lineage: Eukaryota; Metazoa; Chordata; Mammalia; Rodentia; Caviidae.
GUUUUGCUAAAGCCCUAACUUACCCAGGCUGAGGGUGCUGCCCUCCUGCCACGACCUCCUAGAGGGCAGGGUGCUAGGUGGACUAGCUCUGCCAGCUCCUUGACUCUAGCUUGGUUUCUACUCCUGCCCCCCUCCCCCAAAGAGGAGGGCGGGUACUAAGACUGCAUCAAGAGAGACCAGAGCUCCAGGUCACCCAGGAACAAGCAAUGCAGCCAGAUGGCCAGUCCCCAUCCGUUGCUCCAUUACUCGGGCCAUCAGAGCCUGUUCUGCCUGCUCUGACCUGCCUUGCGGUGCAGGCCUCAUGAUUCACAGGCUUCUCUCCCAUGCCUGGCGGGAGAGGGAGGGCCAGCUCUGCUGACAAAGGAGGCUCCUAGGAGAAACUGGGUGGGGGUGGUCAUGGAGGGCUUCCUGGAAAAGGCCACUCUGUCCAAGCCACAGGAAGAACCUCCAAGCUCCUCACUGGUGAUGCUUAUGGUUUGGAAGCUGUGCUUCAAGAUGCUUAAGGUUUGGAAGCUGUGCUUCAAGAACAGACAGGAGCAGGCCAGUCCUCGGAUAAUGACAUACUUCUCUGGGUCCCUACAGAGACACCCUCCCCCAAACCUGUAGAGAGGAUGACAUCUAAGGAUAUGCAGCUCGUCCUGUCCCCUUCCUAUGCAGUUUGUCCUCUAACCCCAAUCAGCCUUGCAAUCAAGCUUUUGUUUUGCUCUUUUGCAGUACUGAGGAUGGAACCCAGGGCCUCCACAGUGAGUUACAUUUUUAAAUUUGGAGUAGGAACUCACUAAGUGGCUAAAUUGCCCAGGCUAAGAUCCAGCUUGUGAUUCUGGUGCCUCAGCUUCCCAGAACGCCGGGAUUACAGGUGUGUGCACACCUGGCUUCAGACUCUUUUCUGACCAUCAAUAUUCAUGCAUCAAUAUUGGUUUCUGUACACAUCAGGCACUUGCCUAACAAGUGCCUUCUGCCUAAGAAGAUCACAGUGACGACCUCAAGUGGGCAUAUCUUUUGGGAAGCUGCAGCCAGCAACCACACUGUCCUUAACUCUGUGGGAAAGCUGUGGCCAGAAAGGACCAGAGACAGGAGUGACGCUGCAGAUGCCCUGAAGCUCACCUUCCUAACCCUUUGAGAAAGCUGGCAGCCCAGCCUCUCCUCUGGUUUAAUGUGGCAGCUGCCAGCCACACACAGCUGCUGAGCCCUCGAACCGUAGUGGGUGUGAUUUCCGAUGGCGCUGGAGUCUACUGUAGGCCACAUCUUCACAACUUAGUGUGGGACAAAGGCAGUGAAACAUCUCGCUCAUACGUUUCUGUGGAUUUUGUGUUGAAGCAACACUCCGGAUAUAUUGGGUUAAAAAGAAAUAGAAUUCAAGUUAAAUUCUUUUUUUUUUUUUUUUUUUUGUCUUUUUCAUUUUUAUCGGUACUGGGAAUCGAACUCACGACCGCCUGCUUGCAAGGCAGGCACUUAUGCCGCUGAGAUAAAUCCCCAGCCCCCAAGUUCUUUUUUUUUAUUUAAAAAAAAAAAACUGCAAUGAAAUGCACAUAACAUAAAAUUGACCGUCUUAAGGUACACAGUUCAGUGGUGUUUAAGCCGACACCCUGUGCCCACGAGCAGUCAUCUCCAUCCCCUCGCCCUCCACCCUGGCCACCACCAAUCUGCUGCCUGUGCCUGCCAACUGACCUGUUCUGAAUACCUCAUCCAAUAGAAGCACAUGAUCUUUGUCCAUCCGUGCUUGGCUCCUCCUACCGAGCAUAAUGUCACUAGGGUAUAGCCCUGACAGUGGGGAUGUCAUUCCUUUUGUGGCUCAGUUACACCCACCUGGUGGACACUCCACUCCUCCAUGGUGGGCACCCAGUUCUUCCCACCUUUCAGUCACUGUGACCAUCUUCUUCCUUUGUCACCAUGCGCCCAGAAAGGGUGCCCUGCAACCCGAAUCACCUUGGGAGUGGACAAGCUGUAAUACAGAUGAUACCAGCUGCACCGAAAAUUCUAUCAGAUGGUUCCCUUCUGCGCUGAAAAUUCUAUCACUGGCUAUUUCCAAAACAACACACCUAAUAUUCCCAGGAGUCGCAGCUGUAUCAGGACAUCAGAAGGAGGAACAUUCUCUAAAGACCCUCCCUCCUUGGGCUGAGAUUUGAUUUCAAUUCGUACAUGAUUCAAGACCUCUGAAGGUCCAUGGACCCCCAAAAAGGAACAAGGAAGACCUAUUGUGGCUGACUUUUUGAGACAGGUUCUUGCUGUGUAGUUCUCAGGGAUUCUUUUGCCUCAGCCACCCUCGUGCUGGGAUCGCUGUGAGUUUGGAGCCAGCCUGAACUAUAUAUCAAGAUGCUGUCUCAGAUCAAGUGUUAUGGCUUGUUUAAAUGUCCCCCUGGAGCCUCGUGCAGUUAUGAAGGUGGCAGAGUCUAGCGUGUGGGAUUGCUUUGUUGUCUAGCCCUAGGACUGGAGGUGUGAGUGAUGCCCCCAACCAGGGACAGGUAACUCCCACGCGACACAGGGGAAGGAAGAAGUGUGCCUUUCCCCUUUUGCCCGUUUUACCCUCGUCGCUUGGCCACCAUGAGUGGCUUCCUGAGCCGUGCCACUCUGGCUGGGAGCCAGUUGAUAAUGGACUGAAACCUCCACAAACUGGAAGCUAAAUAAACCUUCCUUCCCCUAA